This 152-nucleotide small RNA is filed under the name bovine gut metagenome. RNAcentral's name for it is "M-box riboswitch (ykoK leader)". It matches the Rfam family "M-box riboswitch aptamer (ykoK leader)", at positions 10 to 160 of the family's 169-position model. From Rfam's summary of the family: M-box riboswitch, also know as ykoK leader is described as a metaloregulatory RNA that sense divalent metals and function as a genetic control element of genes related to divalent metal transport in bacteria. It was first reported upstream of the B.subtilis ykoK gene and genes with related functions in other bacteria. Phylogenetic analysis of the distribution of M-box RNAs across bacterial genomes revealed that M-box riboswitches are most often employed for the regulation of Mg2+ transporter genes The record is from RNAcentral.
UUAUCCGGUAGGUAAGGCCACCGCCGGGGAUAAGGGCUGCUGCCGCGAAGUUGUGGAGACACUACAAGUUGGUUUGAGCAGGUGAUAUCGAACUCAAGGUAUUAUCUAAUGCAGUUUCAUCGCCCCGCGACGCUAAAGCUUGUACGGUAGAU